RNAcentral lists this ribosomal RNA (1917 nucleotides) under viral metagenome. RNAcentral describes it as "bacterial LSU rRNA". It matches the Rfam family "Bacterial large subunit ribosomal RNA", at positions 42 to 1973 of the family's 2925-position model. The record is from RNAcentral.
GCGAGCGAAAUCGGAGGAGCCUAGUCCUCUUUAGCAUCGAACUUAUCAAAGCUAAUUUGCCUGCGAAAAGCUUCGGGGAGCUGGCAAAUUAGCUUUGAUCCGGAGAUAUCCGAAUGGGGAAACCCACCCGCAAGGGUAUCAACAACUGAAUACAUAGGUUGUUGAGGCGAACCGAGUGAACUGAAACAUCUAAGUAACUCGAGGAAAAGACAUCAACCGAGAUUCCGAAAGUAGUGGCGAGCGAAAUCGGAGGAGCCUAGUCCUCUUUAGCAUCGAACUUAUCAAAACAGCUUGGAAACGCUGGCCAUAGUGGGUGAUAGCCCCGUAUGAGAAAAGUUUGGUGUGGAACUGAGUGGACGAUAAGUAGGGCGGGACACGAGAAAUCCUGUCUGAAGAUGGGGGGACCAUCCUCCAAGGCUAAAUACUCGUAAUCGACCGAUAGUGAACAAGUACCGUGAGGGAAAGGCGAAAAGAACCCCGGGAGGGGAGUGAAAUAGAUCCUGAAACCGCAUGCAUACAAAAAAGUCGGAGCCGCAAGGUGACGGCGUACCUUUUGUAUAAUGGGUCAGCGACUUACAUUCAGUGGCGAGGUUAACCGAAUAGGGAAGCCGAAGAGAAAUCGAGUCCGAAUAGGGCGUCUAGUCGCUGGGUGUAGACCCGAAACCAAGUGAUCUAUCCAUGGCCAGGAUGAAGGUGCGGUAACACGCACUGGAGGUCCGAACCGACUAAUGUUGCAAAAUUAGCGGAUGAGCUGUGGAUAGGGGUGAAAGGCUAAACAAACUUGGAAAUAGCUGGUUCUCUCCGAAAACUAUUUAGGUAGUGCCUCAAGUAUUACCAUCGGGGGUAGAGCACUGUUUAGGCUAGGGGGUCAUGGCGACUUACCAAACCUAUGCAAACUCCGAAUACCGAUGAGUACAGCUUGGGAGACAGUGCACCGGGUGCUAACGUCCGGACACAAGAGGGAAACAACCCAGACCGCCAGCUAAGGUCCCUAAAAUUGGCUAAGUGGGAAACGAAGUGGGAAGGCUAAAACAGUCAGGAUGUUGGCUUAGAAGCAGCCAUCAUUUAAAGAAAGCGUAAUAGCUCACUGAUCGAGUCGUCCUGCGCGGAAGAUGUAACGGGGCUCAAGCCAGUUACCGAAGCUGCGGAUUCACAGUUUACUGUGAGUGGUAGGAGAGCGUUCUGUAAGCCUGAGAAGGUGUCUUGAGAAGGAUGCUGGAGGUAUCAGAAGUGCGAAUGCUGACAUGAGUAGCGUUAAAGGGGGUGAAAAGCCCCCUCGCCGAAAGCGCAAGGUUUCCUACGCAACGUUCAUCGGCGUAGGGUGAGUCGGCCCCUAAGGCGAGGCAGAGAUGCGUAGCUGAUGGGAAACAGGUUAAUAUUCCUGUACCGAUCUAUGGUGCGAUGUGGGGACGGAGAAGGUUAGCUCAGCCAACUGUUGGAAUAGUUGGUUCAAGCCUGUAGUCGUGCCUGGUAGGCAAAUCCGCCGGGCUUAGAUGAGGGGUGAUAACGGGUCUGCUUGCAGACGAAGUGAGUGAUACCCUGCUUCCAGGAAAAGCCACUAAGCUUCAGCCAUAGACGACCGUACCGCAAACCGACACUGGUGCGCGAGAUGAGUAUUCUAAGGCGCUUGAGAGAACUCUGGAGAAGGAACUCGGCAAAUUGACACCGUAACUUCGGAAGAAGGUGUGCCUUUAGUAGGUGAACCAUUUACUUGGGGAGCCCAAUGAGGUCGCAGAGAAUCGGUGGCUGCAACUGUUUAAUAAAAACACAGCACUCUGCAAAGACGAAAGUCGACGUAUAGGGUGUGACGCCUGCCCGGUGCUGGAAGAUUAAUUGAUGGGGUGCAAGCUCUUGAUCGAAGUCCCAGUAAACGGCGGCCGUAACUAUAACGGUCCUAAGGUAGCGAAAUUCCUUGUC